RNAcentral lists this ribosomal RNA (254 nucleotides) under uncultured bacterium. Its description in RNAcentral is "partial 16S ribosomal RNA". It matches the Rfam family "Bacterial small subunit ribosomal RNA", at positions 524 to 776 of the family's 1533-position model. The record is from RNAcentral.
UACGUAGGGGGCAAGCGUUGUCCGGAUUCAUUGGGCGUAAAGAGCUCGUAGGCGGUUCGGCAAGUCGGGUGUGAAAACUCCAGGCUCAACCUGGAGACGCCACCCGAUACUGCUGUGACUUGAGUCCGGUAGGGGACCACGGAAUUCCUGGUGUAGCGGUGAAAUGCGCAGAUAUCAGGAGGAACACCGGUGGCGAAGGCAGCCCCCUGGGUCAAGACUGACGCUCAUGCACGAAAGCGUGGGGAGCAAACAGG